CUACGUGCCAGCAGCCGCGGUAAUACGGAAGGUCCAGGCGUUAUCCGGAUUUAUUGGGUUUAAAGGGAGCGUAGGCUGGAUAUUAAGUGUGUUGUGAAAUGUAGACGCUCAACGUCUGACUUGCAGCGCAUACUGGUUUCCUUGAGUACGCACAACGUUGGCGGAAUUCGUCGUGUAGCGGUGAAAUGCUUAGAUAUGACGAAGAACUCCGAUUGCGAAGGCAGCUGACGGGAGCGCAACUGACGCUUAAGCUCGAAGGUGCGGGUAUCAAACAGGAUUAGAUACCCUGGUAGUCCGCACAGUAAACGAUGGAUGCCCGCUGUUGGUACCUGGUAUCAGCGGCUAAGCGAAAGCAUUAAGCAUCCCACCUGGGGAGUACGCCGGCAACGGUGAAACUCAAAGGAAUUGACGGGGGCACGCACAAGCGGAGGAACAUGUGGUUUAAUUCGAUGAUACGCGAGGAACCUUACCCGGGCUUGAA
This 481-nucleotide ribosomal RNA is filed under the name uncultured bacterium. RNAcentral's name for it is "bacterial SSU rRNA". It matches the Rfam family "Bacterial small subunit ribosomal RNA", at positions 501 to 985 of the family's 1533-position model. The record is from RNAcentral.